AGCAGUAGCCGCGGUAAUACGAAGGGGGCUAGCGUUGCUCGGAAUGACUGGGCGUAAAGGGCGCGUAGGCGGUUUUCCAAGUUAGAUGUGAAAUUCCUGGGCUCAACCUGGGGACUGCAUUUGAUACUGGGAGGCUUGAGUAUGGAAGAGGGUCGUGGAAUUCCCAGUGUAGAGGUGAAAUUCGUAGAUAUUGGGAAGAACACCGGUGGCGAAGGCGGCGACCUGGUCCAUAACUGACGCUGAGGCGCGAAAGCGUGGGGAGCAAACAGGAUUAGAUACCCGGGUAGUCCCUGUCUCUUAUAC
RNAcentral lists this ribosomal RNA (303 nucleotides) under uncultured bacterium. RNAcentral's name for it is "partial 16S ribosomal RNA". It matches the Rfam family "Bacterial small subunit ribosomal RNA", at positions 507 to 807 of the family's 1533-position model. The record is from RNAcentral.